CACAGGGCUCUCUGGGUCUGAGACACCACUUCAGACAGAGAGCUUUUGUUCCCCUCUUGCCCAGUUGUCACUCUGCACGCAAGAGUAACAGGAGAUGUGCUGCCUGACCCAUGGGCUGGGAUAAAUGGGGCUGGUUCUGUUUGGUUCCACAGGGCUUGGCCAGCCAAUAUAGGGAGGUACAGCUCUCCUAAGAAAAGGUUCACAUGGACAACUGCUGCUUUCUGACCCCUCUGCAGGGAUUUCUGAGGGUGAUGAGCAUUCAAGCAGGAGCAGAGUGGAAAAGGAGAUUUUAUCCAAGCAGAACUGAAGACCACACACACUUUUAUGGCUUUUUGGGUAUUCUGCAGCAGCUGUGAUCAGGAAGUUCUGCAUCCAGGACUCUUGAACAUAUUCAUUGGAACCUUCACACAAACACCCCCGGUCAGUGGGCUCAUCUCUGGGAUGGAGACAAGUACUGAACUUUCAGGCAUGGAAACAAGUCUUAAGGCACUUUGUGCUCCUUCAUGGGAAGCAACAUGAGGACAAAUGUCUGUCUCUUCCUCCUCUCUCAUCAGUAAAUAAGUUUAUUCCUCAAUAUAAGAAAGAAUAUGUGUAGCGAGAAGGAGCAAAGGGAAGAGAGCUCUCUCUGAAAUGAGUAAAAGAAUUCCAGUAAUUGAACAGCUCAUAUUUUGACGCACUGAGUUAUUAAAUUUUGAGAACCAAUGAAAAAUCUCUCUAGUCAUAGCACUACAGCCUAAGUGCCAGGAUAAAUACAAGAGCUUAGGAAGCCUCAUUUUCCACACAGAUACACUGUCCAUGGGCUCAGGCAAGCCUACAGCUGCUGCUGGUGGAGAAAAUUUUUAGGAAAAAGCAUCAAAAGGAGAAGGUAGCUCUGAAGGCAGUAGAUGCGCUUCAAUUACUGUGGCUAAAUCAUUAAAUUAGAGCCUGUACCUCAAUAUUCCUGUAAAUUCUUC
This 953-nucleotide long non-coding RNA is filed under the name Serinus canaria (Common canary). RNAcentral's name for it is "lncRNA (ENSSCAG00000017325.1)". Lineage: Eukaryota; Metazoa; Chordata; Aves; Passeriformes; Fringillidae. The record is from RNAcentral.